GGGACCUCUAAACUUACAAAUUGUAAGACAAGUCACAUCCCCAAAUAUAUAUUACACGGCUGAAAUUAGGAAAGACAAAAUCAAACACUCUUCUCACCUGCCAAAUGAAAAUUAAAACCCUAAAAUCCACCAUUUUUUUUAUUCUUGCCAGCGCCAAAAUCCGACCCGCCACCUCGACCCGAGGUCUCAAUAUCAUGCGAGGACCCGGUUGUUGUACAACCCAAAAGUGGCGCUGCACCGGAAGAAAAGUGGAAUUCCGAAGCUGGAAUCUGAGGUACAAAAUCGCCAUUGAUUGUGCAUUGAGAUGUGAAAUCAGAAAAUAUUUUGCUGAAUUCUAAUUUCAAAGCUUGUGUUGCGGAUUUUGGGCUUGUCAAAUUCUUGGUAGAUGGUGGUGUUGGAUUUAUUAAUUAUAUCUUUGUGUGUGUGUGCAUGUGGAGGGGGAAACAGAGGGUUGCCUGAGAUUAGGUUUCAAACAAACAGGUGAUUUGGCUGAUUCGUGUUUAAGUGGAAACGGAUGGAGGGGUGGAAAAUUUUGUACAAUAUUUUUGUAUUAAAUAAAUGGACUUCCUCUUGCGUGGUUUGGAUUUGGAUUUCUUUACACAUGUUUAUAUAAUGAAUAUAUACAUUAUACAUAUAUGCCCAAACAAAAUUUUACACACAAAAAACGUUUUUCCACAUCAUAUAGGAAAAAAAUUUCAUGAAAGAUUUCGUUCUUAAUAUAAAGGCUCUGAUACCAAUUGUUAAAUUUAAUUUUAAUCAUGUUAAGAAUCGAGAAUGACAAUACAAUAAUUAAUAGAACGAAUUCAUACCUGCGAAAGCCAUUAUUGAUAUGAAUAAUAGUUGUAAUAGCUGUUAGAUUUUCCCCUCAUUGCUCCUCACAAAGUAUUAGCUGUCAAUGGGGCAAGCUAAUAAAAUAAUAUGGAAAAGAGAGGGGAUCCAGCUUUUAUAUAGGAAUUUAUUUAGUCAUCUCAUUAUCUACGUAAACCCUAAUUAGGGUUUACGCAUAAUUUUGGCCCACAUACUUGAAAUUACCACAUUAUAUCAAAUAAAGCUUGUAAGGUGUAAAACAACCCAAAUUGAUCACUUAACAUAAUUGGUCUAAUCAUAUGUUGUUGUAAGUCAUACAUCUAACCCGUAAAACUUUACAAUCGAAUGUGAAGCCUAUAUUUGGAAUUAUUCCAACAUAACAAACAUUGAUAGGUUUUGAAUUAAAGAUAAAGAAUGAUUGAAUUGAAGGCUGCUCGUUGUGUACAUAUCAAAGAUAAAACUCAAGUUUAAUGUAACAUAUUCUAAUAUCAAUUUUAAAUAAGCAAUGUCGAGUUAAAGAUUCGAGAAUUUUUACCAAGCCGCCCAUUUUUACAUUAUUGACUUUUUGUCCUAGCCAAAAGAGCAAGCUAUCUAAUUUAAGCUUGUUGCAUUCGAGUCGAUGUGUUUUAGUUUUGUUUGUGUUUCCGUUGUUCCUUUUCUUUUCUUUUCUUUUCUUUUUCUUUUGUGUGUUUGUUUGAGAACUAGCAAAGUAUUAUGUUUGGAGGUGUUUGAUGAAUGUAUUGCAAUCAUGCAAUUAAUACUAUUUAAGCAUGAUAUUUUGUUUGGUCUUAAGAGUUUUAGGUUGUUUUGUUCUGUGUUUUUAUGUUUUUGUUGUAGGUUAGGUGAAAUGGCGAUAAAAGGCAAUUCUUGGAGCUUUAAAGAACCAAGAAGUUAGAGGGAGAUGAAUCAAGGGUGAAUGAAUGUGCAAAUAUGCUAAGGAGACAAGGAAAAAAGCCAAAGAAACAAUGCUUCAAUGCUGCAGAAAAAAGAAUUUUUACAGGUCAACUAGCACGUAUGUGCCACACAGCAAAUACAAGCAGCGAGGCAAUGCAUCGUAGAAUGUAGAGUUAAUUUUGAUCCGAAAAAGCCCAAUUAAGCCUAACUCAAGACAGACAUUAUGAGGACAUAAAUGCAACAUUUUAAAGGAUUUUGAAACACACUUUGACGCAAACAAAUCUAGAGAAUGAAGUAAUUGAAGGAAGAGACAGUGAGAAGGAAGAUAGAUUCAACUCGAAAGACAGUUUUUCCUCUUUUCCUUUCAUGUUUAUGAUAAUGAACUUUAGAUUUCUUUAUUUUCCAAUUAUGAACUAAUUCAAUUAUCUCGAGGAUUGAUGUAGCCUAUACUUGAUACUAUGUUUUGAUUUUCAAUGUAUAUUUCUUUGGGGUUUUCUUCUAAGUUUA
This 2208-nucleotide long non-coding RNA is filed under the name Olea europaea subsp. europaea. The record is from RNAcentral. Lineage: Eukaryota; Viridiplantae; Streptophyta; Magnoliopsida; Lamiales; Oleaceae.